UAUUCUCAAUCCCUUCGGCUUUGCGGCCGUCGGGUUUGGAUUUGGAGGCUUGUGCUGGCCCCUCGCGGUCGGCUCCUCUUGAAUGCAUUAGCUGGGCUUAUGCUCGAUGCAACGGUGUAAUAGUGUCUUUUCACCGGGGUAACUUGCAAUUGAAAGUCCGCUUCUAAUCGUCUCGCAUGAGACAUUAUAAAGGGAUUGAUUUCUCUUUGACAC
RNAcentral lists this unclassified non-coding RNA (213 nucleotides) under uncultured Hymenochaetaceae. Its description in RNAcentral is "sequence contains ITS2". The record is from RNAcentral. Lineage: Eukaryota; Fungi; Basidiomycota; Agaricomycetes; Hymenochaetales.